UGCGGCCGUCGCGGCGACCGCGUCCCGCUCUGUCGGGAUGAGGAAAGUCCGAACUGCCGGGGCACGGUGCUUGCUAACAGCAAGGCGGAGCAAUCCGACGGAAAGUGCAACAGAAAAGAUACCGCCGGUCCGGCGGGCCUGCGGUCCGUCGGACAGGUAAGGGUGAAAUGGUGCGGUAAGAGCGCACCGCGCCGGGGGUGACUCCGGCGGCAUGGCAAACCCCACCGGCAGCAAGGCCAAAUAAGCGGAGGAGAACAGCCCGAUGCCCCCGGGCGCUGUCGGGACACUAAUCCGGCAGCCCUCCGCGGGUAGGCCGCUUGAGGCGUGCGGCGACGCAUGUCCCAGAGAAAUGGUCGCCCCGGCGCCUGGCGGCGCCGGAACAGAAUUCGGCUUACGAACGACCGCAGCAC
This 410-nucleotide RNase P RNA is filed under the name Phycisphaerae bacterium. RNAcentral's name for it is "RNase P RNA component class A". It matches the Rfam family "Bacterial RNase P class A". Rfam says of the family: Ribonuclease P (RNase P) is a ubiquitous endoribonuclease, found in archaea, bacteria and eukarya as well as chloroplasts and mitochondria. Its best characterised activity is the generation of mature 5'-ends of tRNAs by cleaving the 5'-leader elements of precursor-tRNAs. Cellular RNase Ps are ribonucleoproteins. The record is from RNAcentral. Lineage: Bacteria; Pseudomonadati; Planctomycetota; Phycisphaerae.